GGGAUGUUACAUGCAGUAAUACAGGCCUUACAAAUGGGUAUAUAGUCGCAAUUCACACCUGACUGAGCAAAGGACUAUCAAACGACUGGAGAGGCUCAAAGAUGGCAGAGUGUGUGUGUGCAUAUGUGUGUGUGAAUGUGUGUGUGUGUGUGUGUGGGUACCGGACACUGAGUCUCUUGCAGUGUGUGGAUGUACCAUAUAACUCUGUGCUAUUCUUGUGCCUGCAGCUCUGAGAAAAAAAAUGCAAUUUUAGGAUUCAUUGCAGAGUGGUGAUGCACCAUGCAGCCCCACUUGUAUUCCAGGAGAGUAAACAAGCAAGUUUCAAUCUUGGGCUGACCCUGAUACUGAACAAGAGAGAGCUGUAGGUUUCCUGCAAUCACAUGCUACAUCCUCCAACAAAUGAGAAAGCUACCUGUAAGUAGUAAACAUGAAAAAUGUCACAGAAUGCCAUUGUGACAUUGAAAAUACCAUAAGGCCCAGCGAGGUUAGCAUGAGCUCAUUAUUGGUUAUCAUAAACGCAUGGAGGCAUGUUGCACAGGUACAUUACCCUGACACUAUUAUAGGAUGCGAUUACGGCAAAGUGCAAUCAUGUCACAUAUCCUGAAGAUUAAGCAGUCUGGAGCCUACAUAGGAAGACUUUUAAGAUAUUCAAAUAAGAGAUACCGAGAAUACUGCAAUUAUUUGGGAAAAAAUGUCAAGUAUAAAAAGGGAAGUGAGAAUCCUGGCUGCAAUACCUUUGACAAUUCAAAUGCAAAUUAAGUCCAGAAGCAUAAUAUUCAUGCAGGAAAUAACAAUAAAGCAAAGUGCCGUUGAGUCACCAAAUCUCUAAGAAUAUCUCAAAAUACGUUCCUCCACAGCGAUAGGAAGAUGAAUAUCCUUUCACACUGCUUUUGUGGCAUUGUUUACUAUACUGUGCCAUCGUAGCCUAUUGUGCAACAAUCUCAUAGACUGCCCUGUCAGACAAUCCGCUGUAUCCUGUUUCAUUAUCGAUUUGACACAUAGACUGCGAUGCAAUAGCCUACAUUUGACUAGUGACCUGUUUGUCAUUUUCAGUUAAUUGUCAGUCAGCUUGAGGCUAAACAGAAUGCAGACUCUGAAAGUCCUUUUUAGAGGGUCAGAGCAAGGCUGAAGUGUAUAAGAAAACCCGCUGGACCAAUAACCAGUCUAACAUGGCUCCGAAGAGAAUUGAAACUUUGCAGUAAGCCAUGUCUUAAUGUUCUUUUUUAUGGUGAAUUCAGUGAACCACUGUGCUGCAAUCUCAAGUUUGUAUUGAUUUUUUGUGCUUUUUUAAUUUACUGUGUCAUUAAAAAAGUUUGAAGGGCAAUCUGGUCUUUUUCUCUGCCCAGUCACCUUUAUCUCCCUUUAAGAUUAUGUAAAUAGCAUCUCUGUUUCAAGAGAUAACAGGUUGAGUGAAAGAUAGUAAGCAAAGUGGCAAAGUCAUGAGUCAGAUUAUCAUCGGCAAAGACAGCAGCAGGUGUUACAGUUUCUACAGAGCACAACAAAAGGUUAGCUGAAGAGUUGGAAAUAGAAUAUUCAACCACAGAUGGUUUGAUGAUCAGCGCAUCACGACUUAACACUUCUACACCCUUAUCAAAGAGAACAAGAGUAUUCACAAUGGUAUCAUUUCAUGUAUCUUUGUAUGUUGUUGUCGAGCAUGAAGGCUGUAUGUUGCAUGACAUAUCAAGUACAGAUUACACUGGUUUGUACUUCUAUAUAUGCUCCAUUUAUGUUUUCUGUUUUAAUUGUUAAGUAUUUAUUUUGCGUAAAUGUCUUAUCACACUGUACAGUAUCCCAGUGUACAGUACUGUAUUGUAUCAUAUCAUAUCACAUCAUAUAUCGUAUAAUAUUGUAUGCUAUUAUAUAGUAUUGUAUCAUAUGGUAUGUUUUAUAGUUUAAUCAUAUCGUAUCAUACCAUUUUACAUUGUAUUGAAUCCUAUUGUUUUAAAUUGUAUCAUCAUGUGUCGUUUGUAACAUAUAUUGUAUCAGAUCAUAUUGUAGCAUGAUACAGUAUCAUAUUGUAUCAUAUCAUAUUUUACGGUAUAGUAUCUUAUCAUAUCCUAUCAUAUAAUGUGAUAUCGUACUGUUUGGUAUAUCAAAUUGUAUUGUAUCAUGUUGUAUCAUAUUCUAUCAGAUUGUAUCGUAAUGUAUUGCGUUAUAUGAUAUCAAAAAGUAUCAUUUUGUAUUUUUAUCAAAAUAAAUUAUAUUUUUGCGUUCUGUCUGAGAACAAAUCCCACUGUAUUAGAAUAUAUCACAUUGUAUUGUUACACAUAUCAAUACAUGGCAGUACAUCAUAACCUUUAAUAACCUAACUUUACAUGUAGCAUCCUAUCACAAUGUUUCAUAUAGAAUCAUAAUGUAUCAUAUGUAAUCGCCGAUCAUAUGGCAUCAUAUUGUUGUGUGUUAUUGUAUUGUACCCCAUCAUAUUAUUUUGUACAACCUCCAGUUCUGCCAAAAAUGCAAAAUCAGAUUUAAUUGAGUCUGUGUAUCAAUCCUAUGCGUUACCAUCAUGGAGGUAUUUUUGCUGCCGCUUGAGCAGUGUUAAAAGAUAAUGCUAAUUCAAAAAUGUAAGAAACUGCAGCUCCCAAACUGUCCACUUGAGGCUGUCACCAAAAGCUAGGCAAAUUCCAUCUAAACCCAUAUCAAAAUGUCAAAUCAUACAGCAGGAUUUAACAUGUUUGCCAUCUGUCUUAAGAACACAGUAAUUCAUUUGCCUAAUUUCUUAAGACCUUUGUGGGGUGAGAAUUUUUAGAACAGUUUCUGCUGUCAUUACAUUAAGGCUAGAGUUAGGCAUAAUAACACACACAGGGGUGGGAGCAUUGUGGUCUGGACCUUUACAGAAGAAUCAGGCCACAGUAUCUUCUUUCAGUGGUGUGACUUGAAGAGGACACAAAUACCAACCUGUUCCUGAAGUGAAGGUACUUUUUUUUUUUUGCACCACACUUUGUUGCAAACUGCUUCUGUGCAAAUCAGCACUCAUGGCCCACUGGAGCCAGAAGGACAACGUCAGAUGGUGCCCUAAUACCUUCAUAUUGGAUGCUUUCCAGACAGUUUGGCUGGACCUCAUGUACAUGGAUAUCACAGACUGAUAUAGGGGCAUUGCACAUCAUUACUGGACUAUACAGCUCAACAUAAAGUAAAUGCGCGUGACCAAUGCCAAAAAGGUUAAUUCAGCUCUCAUAAAUCUUGUAGGAAGUACUUCAGGUUUAAAGAGGUACGGUUGUUACAAGCUGUGCAGAAAUCCACAAAAGAAGCACAGGGGGCUGGAUAUAGACUGUAAAACACAAUCUCCAAAGGACUUAACUUUGUACCUGAAUGAUUAAUCAUUUUUGGAUUGUGAUAAUGUAGGUCAGGUCCUCACUCUUAAAUAGCAAUUAAAAAUGUAAAGUUAGCACUGCAAGUUAGAUACCAAGAUAGAAUCAGCUUCCCUCAAAAAAUCUUGUUUCAUUGUGUAUUUUUCUGCCAAUUAUCAAAGCCCCCUCCUGUCUAGAUCCUGUGCUUAUUCUCAGCUUUAUGUCAAUUUGGGCAAAAGCAUCUUCUAAUUGAAAUGGUAACAUUAUAAUUGCAGGGACACACUGUCUGACAGUUGCUGUGUUAACUUUCUGGUCACAAAUGGUUUAAAAGCCUGAACUGAAUAAAAACUGAACCCUCUGAGACCAAAUGAAAUUUCAUUUGGUCUCAGAGGGUUAGUAUAAACCUUUUCAUAAACCAAUCAAAAUGUGAAAAAAAAGUUGAUUACUUUGGGAGCCCUGGCUUUAUGAAAGCACUUCCAGAGAGGUGUAAGAGCACUAGUGUACUCCAUGAGCACUAUCUAUUGAAUGCUCAAUGCAUACAGUGUAACUUAUAGUCCUGGUUGUUUUGAGGUUGCAGAUCUUCAAACAUGGGAUGUCAAUGCAAUAAAUAAAUGCAAUAAAGGGAAUCAGCUGAUGACAAGAUCUUUACUUGUCAAUGACUUCUUGAUAAACAGGCUUUUAUUUUGAUAGCAGCUGAUUUGUACAUGUGUGAUGAGUUAAUAUAAGAAAAGAUAAGAUGAACUUUAUUGAUCCCCAAAGGGAAAUUCAAUCUUACAUACAUGAGGUUGUCAUCAGAUUCAGUCAGAGAAUUCGCCACACAGGCCUGUGAGAUAAAAAUCCACCCUGACUCUUAUUUCCAAGUACUUAAUUUUUACAUGAUUACUGCUGGUCACUAACAACAAAUGCAGUAUAUUUACCCUGUCUUUCUGAGGCAUUUUGUCCUUCCUCAUGUGGGUUUGAGCUCUGCUGUGGCUUGGGGAUACCAGUUCUGGCAGACGUGCUUGGCUUCCAUUUGUAUGGGAAUGUAUGUGUGUGUCUAAGUGUCUAUGUGUGUUAGGGACCUGCUAAGGGAGGGAGCAGAGGGGUGUUACCAGGUCACCAAACAGCUGUCUGGGAGACAGAAUGGCCGCAAGGGGUGAGCGAAACACACACAUCCACCCACAUACACUCACACACUCACACACACACACAUACACACACACACUCAAAGAGAAAGAGAAAGGAUAGAUAGGCGCUUAUAUGCAACAGCAUCUAUCACCCCAAACACACACCUCAACACAGCACACGGAGAUCAAUCAGUUUCUUUUACAUUUCCUGAUCUUUUUAUUGAGAGCAUAAUUCUUUGCUUCCUGUAGUUUUUCAGAUGCAGUAAUCUGAUAGUAAAAAAUCAAUUCCUCAUUUCUUCCUCUUCCACAAAUACACAAGCACACAAACACACACAAAUCUUCACACAUAUGGUGCUCUUUGGUGCUUGUCUUUGUGCUUGAUUAAAAGCUUCAUUAGGCAAACAACCCAGUAAACAUUAAAUACUAAAUAUCCCAAAAUCUUCACAGAAGACAGAUAAAUUGAGUAUGGUGUUAGUUCAGGCAGGCUUUGGAUUUUAUGUAUACACACAAACAGAUCUACAUACAUAUGCCAAAGGGUAGAGAGCUCUCAGAACAGAGCUCUACUAUCAGAUAAAACUUAUUGUGGGGAAUAUGAUACUGUAUGAUCUGUAGCUAAUGAAAGUGAGUUAUGGAAAACACUUUACUUUAGCUUGUUUACACUGCGUGUAAGAGAAGAGAAAGAUGGAAAGUAAAGUUUCUAUAGUGAGGAAGAAAAAAGAAGAGAACUCAAGGACAUAACUGGAAUUGCUUUUUUGUUCUGAACACUCAUGAGAGUAGGUCUCUGUUGGCUCUCGCACAAUUUAAUUUUCUGUUAGAUGUAUCAUUUUUUCAUCCAAUGACAUUUAUUGUGAAAAACACGUAACACUUUGUGAUCCAACAAAGGCUUAAGGAAGUGUACAUUGCUUUAGGUUGCCAAGCAAAUCUAAACUGCACAUUCAGUAAACCUGCACUCUCUCUGAUACCAAAUAGGAACAGUUCUAUCAGAUGGAAAACAGUCAAAUCAUGCACUGUAGAAAUCUAUUAGAUAAUGAGCCUACUGCUUCAUUUUUUAACGUCUCAGUUAACAAUUCCCCAAUGGUUUUUUGGUCUCAUUAUAUGUGAGCCUUUCCAGUGCAGCAUGGGGUCCGUUUUGUGAGUAUUGGUCUCAUUUAGGGAAAUUAAAAAUCAUACAGGCAAAUGCUUGAGGUUGUAGCGACCUGACUAUGAAGACACUACAACAGCAACUGUCAAUCAGAACAAAGAUAUUUUUUGCACACUUACCUUCUUAUCCAAGGUCUUCUCAGGUGAAAAGUCAAGAUGGAAAUACAGAAAAAAUGUACAAAUUAGGCUUUAAAAUGUCUUCCUGACACAAAUUGAUGUUUUACUGACUGUGUGAACUGUAUGGUGCAAGAUAACAAGUGAUUAAUCAAACAUAAAUUGAAAAAAAAAAAACCUACAGGUUAAAUGAGGCAUUUAUUUGGUGACUCUCAACAUUUUAUAGUGUAGAAUCAUUUCAUGUCCCCUUAAAUUGAUAUUAAUAAUACUUUAAAAAUUAGCUCAAAAAUUAUCUGUGAAAUUAAUGAGGUUUAGCCACAUGUUAGAAAUGUCAUUGUAAUGUAACCGAUGAAGUGAGACAAUUGCUCUUAUUCGUAUUUUGUAAAGUACAAGAUGUUAGGUACUUUGUAUCCACCCACACCCUCCGCUGAGCAUUUCCACACUAAGCACCUAUAAGCCUCAUUAGCUACCAAUGCAAUAAUAUGAAGAGAUCAGGAAUUGUUCCGCUUCCUUGUGCAGCAUGACUUCAUCCUUGAUUGUUACUGCGCCACUGGUUGCAUCAUGAAAUUGCAGUAGUGACCUUUUAUUUCCUGCAUGUCGGCAUAGUUUACUCUGAAAACUCUUCAGCAUUUGCCUCUCCAUGCCAUCACAACCAAGGUUCAGUUGAACAAAAGACGCUGCUCUUGCUGGGGAAUGUCCUGUUCUCCCUUUGAAAUCUAAGUGUCAUUUAUGAAAUCCUACCUCUUACUUAAAAAAAAGAGGUAUUUCUUGAAAAACUAGGAGUGCACCAUUGUUUCAUUUGUCUCCAGGCUUAUCAUUGUACCAAAAGUAGCCUUGGGUAGUAUAGGAGGUAGAAUGGAUUGUUUAGCUCCUUUCACUAAUGUACAAUACAGAGCAUUUUCUUCUUUUUAUGAUUAAUUCUAUUUCAAUUUGUAUGUCUUUUUAAAAUUUGAUUCAAUGGUACAUUACAUUAUGUAUUAAUAUAAACUAUGAAAAGUAAUAUAUGUACUUUCCAUCCUGUCUUGCACAAUGUGCAGAUAACAAAGCAGUGGCUUUGAGACAACUCUGAAUGUCCUUGAGUGGCCCAGCCAAAGCCCAGACUUGAACCCAAUUGAACAUCUCUGGAGAGAUCUGAAAAUAAACAAGCGCUCCCUAUCCAACUUGAUGGAGUUUGAGAGGUCCUGCAGAGAAGAAUGGGAGAACCUGCCUAAAAGUAGUUGUGCUAAGCUUGUAGCAUCGUACUCAAAAAGACUUGAGGCUGUAAUUGCUGCCAAAGGUGCAUCUACAUGCGAAUUUGGCUCCAAUUCCCUUAUAACAAUGUCAACAAAAGCCUGAUUAUUGGUUGGUUUUAAAGAUUAACAUGCAAAGAAACCUUGUGAUGUGAGGUGUGUUAAGAGUAAUUCUUCUUCCUACGAUGUGUAUGGAGGACAAUAGGAGCCCCAACGGCAAGGAUUCCUGAUCAGAGACAAUCUGAACCCCAAGGACGGCAAAACAUGCAUGACUCUGUCCAUGGAGAAAGAUGGUACAUAAAGGAAAAUUAUAGUUGUAAAGCAAGCUAACUGGAGAAGAUAGCAUAACAAAUGCAGAAUAGUCAAAGUGAAGCAUAAACUUAGAUGGAUGUCAAAAAAAGAGAACCCACUUGUUGAUACAUCGCAACAAUAAAACACGUUAGGUGGAGCAAACCAGUGAAUGACAAGGGGGAAGUGUUGAAAAGAAAUUGCUAUUACAUUGGAUGUAACAGGAAGCUAAGCAUGUAGCAACAAUUAGCUCCUGUGGUCUGCCAUGUUUUUUCCUCUUGAUUGAUUGUGAGAGAUUUUUGAGAUUUCCAGUUUUAAGUGUAAGAAAUCCAUCUUCUGGUUAAAACUAUAAGAAACUAAACUACAGGAAAGGAAAUGUUCAAUCUGUCAUCAUUUGUCGUUAUGUGUGAGGUCUCUGAUGUUUUUUUAAAGAUUUUGACAUGUCAGGUGUUCAUGUCUGUUUUUGUUCCACCUUCUUCAGGUUAAAUCACCCACCAAAAAGAUCAUCCAUUCAUUAUCCUACACCCACAACUAUUGGCCUUCUCCCCUCUGCCUGGUUUAUCUGGGAUCUAAACAGCUUUAAUAGAGGAUAGGAGAGAUGUACUGGAGUUUUAAGAAAGAAAAAAAAAAAACGUCAAAUGCAAGGAGGUGGGGGUGCUGAUCUGGAACGUCAGUAAGUUGAAGCAAAGGUCAAGGAGGCACAGCACAGUCUCCCAGCUAAACUAGCUAAAUUAGUCAUCUCACUGAAAAAAUGAUGACACUUUACUCUGUGAUACGUUAGCCACAACAAGCAGGGCUGAUCCACCACCCCGGAGGACACAGCGUUACAUUCAUAGAGCUUUAUUACCAGACAGGAACCAUCAGACUCCUAGACCUCUUUCUCAACAACACAUCAGAUAUAGGAGUUGUUCUAUAACAUGUUCUGUAUCAGUAGUUAUCUUGUGUUGAAUUAAAGGUUCCAAUGAGGAUGCACAAAGAGGUAUGACAGUCGUGCUUGUCAAGAGGCUAGAGGCUAGACAGUUGUCAUGCUCUGUGUAUCACAACACCUUCCUCAGAUAGAAUCAUGUCAUCAUAUUCAUAAUGAAAUUAUUUUUAUGACCACAACCAUGAUUUCCUCUGAGAGCUUUUGAGCAAGUAUCCCUGUGAGCUGGCGGCUGAGCCCAGACACUCCGCAAUAAGGAGUCACUUUGAGUAAUGUCGCCAGUGGCAUUUUAGUUUGUUGUUUCACCAUAUUUGACUCCAGUAUGUGGGUACUUUUGGUUUAGUUUCGACAAAGAGGUUUCAUUUGGAAAAAGGCCAUUGCCCAGUCCAUACAGACUGCACGAUGCUUUGAUUUUUGUAACCCUUUUGUUUGAGAGAAUUCGUCACAUCUACACAUUGCGAAUCCUCAUUCAAAGCACCUCAGCACCUGAGGCUUAAAAAUGCCAGAUUGGACUAUUGUUGUCCAGCUAAAGGGAGGUGAGGAUCAUUUGAAUGUGGGGCAGCUGUGAUCUGCAGCCAGGUAAAAAGUUUAAAAAUAUAUAUAUUUAUAUAUCUGAUACUACAAUCCAAUGCUGGUAGACAGGAAAGCUGAGAAAGAGAGUUUAGCGUGAUGGAAAUAGUAAUGGAAUAAAUGCUGUGAUAUAGAUAGAACAAUGAGUCUGGCUUAUCUUGGAGGAAAAUCUUGACCACUGAUACUUGUUUUUGGACUUGACUGGUAAGUUGGGACAAUCAUUCAUUUAUUUUUCCAACGACUGAGGGUCCUUACACAAUGGGACCGACUGAGAUAUAUGACGCAAAAUUACAAAUUAUUCAGAGGCAAAUUUUGACGCGCCUGACUAUACACAUCAAGCCCGGUUUCCAGGGGGAAAAAAGGCGUGUCCCGGAUGGAAGCGAGAAGACUGACACAACACCAGACUGACUGUUUUCAGUUCUGAUUAGACACUAGUGUUGAGAUGGCUGUCUGUCAUGGUAGCAUGUACUGAGUCAGGGCCAGUACCAGAUAAGCACAUUAAACUAUAAUCCAUAAACGUAAGGUAACAACCGAGGCCUAAUGGUGCUGUGACAGCAACGCGAUUGAGUUUGAGACAGUGAAAAUACAUAUGGUAUGUUGUAUCUGAACAGGUUAGCUUACGAGCUAAAGUUACUUAGCACUGAUGAAAGUUAAAACAAAGACGUUUAGUAAACUGUUAAAGCACACAAACCAUCGUCAUAUGAGAAAUCCGACGCUAUGACUCUCCACAAGUUGUCCUUCCGGUCGUUAUCUUUGUGAUGUUUGUGUUUUUAAUCAAAAAGCACUCUGUUCUCCAACAGGUAAACAAUCAGACGGUUGGCCAUGUUGGAUAUACUGGUGAAUCAGACGUCGCAACAACACGCAAUCUGAUUGGUAAUAAGUGGACACACAGUAUGCGAAACUUUAGAAAAAUCAAACAUGAUCCGAAAAAAUAAAUGCCACAAUAUCGCAGGAUGGGAAAACAUCGCUGAUGUGAACGCUUGUAUUGACAGGAUACAGGUUCGAAAAAAGUAUUGACGUCUGAAAUAAUCGCAAGAAAAAAAAACGGUCCCGGUGUGUAAAGACCUUAAAGAGAGCUGUCUGACCCAGCUGCAUUGUGACUUGGACAUAGUGUCAAGUGCUGAAAGAAAGCCACGUGGGAUAGUGUAAACUAAAGCUAGUAGGCAGCUGCUAGCUAGAGGGAGUCAUGUGCCGCUAUUUCAGUUAUAUAGGAAGAAUCUGCUUUGAGGUAAUGUUUUGUUGGUUUUUUUUAAACUUUAGCAUUGAAUCAUUGGAAUUGGAGUUCUUUGUGCUUCUUGGUGGUUUCUGUACACAUUUGAUUUUUAUAGUUGUUUGCAAAGUUAAAUGUGGUCAGUCAUUGGCAUCUGUGACAAACAACCUAGCCCAAUGAAUCCUCAAAUCACAAUGUAUUGGUUGUGUAAGCCUAGUUCAAAUUAGUGUUGGCACUUGGGUGUAACCUCAAAACAAAAAAAUAAGUAGACACCAUAUUUUAUUAGAUGGGAAAAUGUUCAUGAUAUGACAACUGACUAAUAAAAAUAAAGGCUGGUGCUUCUGGGGAUUUGAUGUCUAGUUGGAGGGAAAAGUGGUUCCUCUCAACAGCAGAGAUGUACACCAGGGCUUUGAAACAAGAGUUCACUGCCCUGCUGCCAAUCUGGAUGCCAGGUUUAUUUUGUCAUUUUAAAAGUGUUGCCCCAAAGGACAAAGCUGCCAUCUCACCUCCUGAUCAAGCUACUUCACAAGAUCGCAGCAGGUGCUAAAGGAAACUUUUUCAGGAAAGAUUGGUAUGACUAAUAUUGUGUUGGGUUAGGCUGAUCAGCCAGCAGGGAUGUCCAGUCAGAGGUGGAUGUUUCAUGGGACUAUGGAAAUGGGAGAUCUGGCUUGGCUGACAGCAGACUGGUACCAGGUGACUUCCUUGCUUAAAGAGUAUAUAGAUGAGGUAACAUAUGGAGAUUCAUAUGUGUGGCUAUCUGCAAGGCUGGCUUUUAAAACCAGGCUUCAAAGAGAGUAUACGCCCAAAAGCAUAGCUAUAUCUUGAAUGCUCACUCAGCCAAAGUCAGUCUUUAAAUACAGCUGUGACUGGCUAAUUUCAAAGCUGGGCUCUAACCCUAAAUCUAUCGUUAACACAUCAAGUAACAGCUGAAAUGAACACAAGGCCAAGACCGAUUUUAUUACAAAUAGGCGGUGAAUUAAAAUUGAAUUUGCAACGGUAAAUCCAUCAAGCAGUCAUAGGAAUAAAUUAAUAUUGACAUUUUAAAAGAAAAGCUAUUAGCAGGAACUGUGUUGUGUCAGAGGAGGAGGGGAGGAGGGUUGAUGUUUUUUCCGAGUCUGUCAUCUUGACCUUUAUUUCACAGAAGAGCACAUUACAACUGACAUUGCUUCUCCAACAGACACACUCAUAUCAUCUGGUUUGCACACACACACGCUCUAACACAUACUAGAGGCUGUUCAGCCUGUGAAAUGUUGUUCAACUAAGAUUAUCAUGUGCAGCAGCACCAUCUAGUGGACAAUCUGAAAUUCACAGAUUAAAUCUCAAGGGUUUUUAUUUUACUGCAGGCUGCUGUUAGUUUAGACCAGUUAUAUGAAAUAACCAUCUUUUUUAUGAUGUAAAUGGUGUCGUAAAAGACGUGAGAGAUCAUCAUAUCUUUUCUGGCACAAAAAAGUGCACAAAAAGUGCACAAAAUGCUGGCACAGUUACCCUUUUCACAAAAAUCUGAGGUUAGAAAUCAAAGUGAUUUAUAACCAUUUACUGUCUAGAGUGGACUCUACGUCACUGCCAAUCUGACAUUCAAACACUUCCCUUUGUGGUUCAGAUCCUGUCCUAAAAAGGCAGGUUUGUUUGAGUGGCAGCUUAUAAUUUUUGUGUAGUUGAAGCGGCUGUUCAAGACAGAAAGUAUGGUGGCCCUGGUCAACAAACCAACCAUAUCACAUCAUCAUCAACGACAAAAAAACCUCAUAUAGAAAUUCACAAAACACCAAAUAUGAAAUUGAACAAAUCUGUUUCACAGAUUUCAAAAUGCUUUGUCAAAGACUUGGUCCUUAAUUUCAUCACAGCAACUCUAAAGGAAUUGCAUAUAAAUAAAUAGAAAUGUCAUGAUGGAAAAUCUGGAUGAAAAACAAAAUGAGCUGGGCACUGACGGUCCAUCGGCAUAGGUACCGCACCCCAAAGAGGCCUUAGUCCUUGUUGCAGCAGCCGCUGGUAAAAUGCCUGACUGUGACCCUCUGUUGUGUACCCCCCUCCCUGCAGCUGUUCUAACUGAUAAAAUUUGACAUAUAUUGAGUGGUAAAUUGAAUAAAACAGAUUUAGAGCUAAUAUUUUCAAAUGCAGCCUGUUUAGCAUAUGGUGUAAAACAUUAAAUCUGCUUCCCAAUGGUUGAUUUUAACAAGUUGUCUUAAAAUGAAGUAAGAAGUCUACGAAUACCAAAAAGUCUAAUUUCAUUAUAUUUGUAGAAAAUAAGGAAACUGACAAAGAGCAAACAAAACUACAUAUUAGAUAUGAUCAGAGAUACACUCAGCUCUACCCCUGUUCAAUCCCUGUUCACAUCGUAGUGUUGACUUUCUCCAGCUGGUGGCACCCUCAUCCACAGAAUGUAUUCUAUCACAGGCAACCUUUCAAAGUUUCAUUAAAAACACCCCUUUAAACCCAUACGAACAGCACAGUUAAGGUAGCCCUAUUCUUUCAAAAAUUGAAAUGACACAGCAAUAAGCAGUUGUCGCAUUAGAUAAAAUAUCAAAGUAUGGUUAUAAGGACAAUCAGUAAAUAAGUUCACAUUUAAAACAAGCCAUGUAUUUGUAAACAAGCUGGCUAGUUUGAUGUAUUAUAGAUGGUUUUUAUGAAAAUAUAUUUUGGAAUAAGCAAUUUUUUUGUCCUUGCUGGUC
This is a non-coding RNA of Xyrichtys novacula (pearly razorfish), 12535 nucleotides long. NCBI's taxonomy places the organism in Eukaryota, Metazoa, Chordata, Actinopteri, Labriformes, Labridae. The record is from the annotation of a GenBank genome assembly.